GAUGAAGAACGCAGCGAAAUGCGAUAAGUAAUGUGAAUUGCAGAAUUCCGUGAAUCAUCGAGUCUUUGAACGCACAUUGCGCCCCCUGGUAUUCCGGGGGGCAUGCCUGUCCGAGCGUCAUUGCUGCCCUCAAGCACGGCUUGUGUGUUGGGCCCCGUCCUCCGAUCCCGGGGGACGGGCCCGAAAGGCAGCGGCGGCACCGCGUCCGGUCCUCGAGCGUAUGGGGCUUUGUCACCCGCUCUGUAGGCCCGGCCGGCGCUUGCCGAUCAACCCAAAUUUUUUAUCCAGGUUGACCUCGGAUCAGGUAGGGAUACCCGCUGAACUUAAGCAUAUCAAUAAGCGGAGGA
This 347-nucleotide unclassified non-coding RNA is filed under the name soil metagenome. RNAcentral describes it as "partial contains 5.8S ribosomal RNA, internal transcribed spacer 2, and large subunit ribosomal RNA". The stretch from base 1 to 120 matches the Rfam family "5.8S ribosomal RNA", at positions 35 to 154 of the family's 154-position model. The record is from RNAcentral.